UGGCAACUGUGAUGACGCCUCUUGACUCUGUGAUGCACGUUGCUGCGAUAUGGAGACAACAGUCCCUCUAAACUGAUGUUGCCU
Molecule: small nucleolar RNA, 84 nt
Filed under: Salvator merianae (Argentine black and white tegu)
Lineage: Eukaryota; Metazoa; Chordata; Lepidosauria; Squamata; Teiidae
Description: Small nucleolar RNA SNORD127 (ENSSMRG00000007845.1)
Rfam family: Small nucleolar RNA SNORD127
Source: Rfam by way of RNAcentral